This 71-nucleotide transfer RNA is filed under the name Ovis aries (sheep). It matches the Rfam family "tRNA". From Rfam's summary of the family: Transfer RNA (tRNA) molecules are approximately 80 nucleotides in length. Their secondary structure includes four short double-helical elements and three loops (D, anti-codon, and T loops). Lineage: Eukaryota; Metazoa; Chordata; Mammalia; Artiodactyla; Bovidae. The record is from Rfam by way of RNAcentral.
UCCCCAGUGGCUCAGUGGUAGAGAAUCCGCCUGCAAUGCAGGAGAUCCGGGUUCGACCCCUGGGUCAGGAA